Molecule: ribosomal RNA, 221 nt
Filed under: uncultured bacterium
Lineage: Bacteria
Description: partial 16S ribosomal RNA
Rfam family: Bacterial small subunit ribosomal RNA
Source: RNAcentral
UAAUGUAUGGGGAUCUGCCCGAUAGAGGGGGAUAACUACUGGAAACGGUGGCUAAUACCGCAUAAUGUCUACGGACCAAAGCAGGGGUCUCUUCGGACCUUGCACUAUCGGAUGAACCCAUAUGGGAUUAGCUAGUAGGUGGGGUAAAGGCUCACCUAGGCGACGAUCUCUAGCUGGUCUGAGAGGAUGAUCAGCCACACUGGGACUGAGACACGGCCCAG